RNAcentral lists this transfer RNA (73 nucleotides) under Camelus bactrianus (Bactrian camel). It matches the Rfam family "tRNA". From Rfam's summary of the family: Transfer RNA (tRNA) molecules are approximately 80 nucleotides in length. Their secondary structure includes four short double-helical elements and three loops (D, anti-codon, and T loops). RNAcentral also lists the same sequence under 2 other names. The record is from Rfam by way of RNAcentral. Lineage: Eukaryota; Metazoa; Chordata; Mammalia; Artiodactyla; Camelidae.
GAGGGUAUAGCUCAAGUGGCAGAGCACAUGCUUAGCAUGCAUGAGGUCAUGGGUUCAAUCCCCAGUACCUCCU